UAUUUUAAUUUUGUUCCAGCAGCCGCGGUAAAACGUAGGUCACAAGCGUUGUCCGGAAUUACUGGGUGUAAAGGGAGCGCAGGCGGGAAGACAAGUUGGAAGUGAAAUCUAUGGGCUCAACCCAUAAACUGCUUUCAAAACUGUUUUUCUUGAGUAGUGCAGAGGUAGGCGGAAUUCCCGGUGUAGCGGUGGAAUGCGUAGAUAUCGGGAGGAACACCAGUGGCGAAGGCGGCCUACUGGGCACCAACUGACGCUGAGGCUCGAAAGUGUGGGUAGCAAACAGG
RNAcentral lists this ribosomal RNA (284 nucleotides) under Faecalibacterium prausnitzii. RNAcentral describes it as "partial 16S ribosomal RNA". It matches the Rfam family "Bacterial small subunit ribosomal RNA", at positions 493 to 776 of the family's 1533-position model. The record is from RNAcentral. Lineage: Bacteria; Bacillati; Bacillota; Clostridia; Eubacteriales; Oscillospiraceae.